RNAcentral lists this ribosomal RNA (434 nucleotides) under uncultured bacterium. Its description in RNAcentral is "bacterial SSU rRNA". It matches the Rfam family "Bacterial small subunit ribosomal RNA", at positions 29 to 450 of the family's 1533-position model. The record is from RNAcentral.
AAUCAACGCUGGCGGCGUGCCUAACACAUGCAAGUCGAACGCGAAAGUCCCGCAAGGGGGCAAGUAGAGUGGCAAACGGGUGAGUAACACGUGGGUGACCUGCCUUCGAGUGGGGGAUAACGUCCCGAAAGGGACGCUAAUACCGCAUGACAUCCUGCUUUUGGAAAAGCGGAGAUCAAAGCCGGGGAUCGCAAGACCUGGCGCUCGAAGAGGGGCCCGCGCCUGAUUAGCUAGUUGGGAGGUAACGGCUCACCAAGGCUACGAUCAGUAUCCGGCCUGAGAGGGCGGACGGACACACUGGGACUGAGACACGGCCCAGACUCCUACGGGAGGCAGCAGUGGGGAAUUGUUCGCAAUGGGCGCAAGCCUGACGACGCAACGCCGCGUGGAGGAUGAAGAUUUCGGAUCGUAAACUCCUGUCGAGUGGGAAGAAC